Molecule: long non-coding RNA, 552 nt
Filed under: Pan troglodytes (chimpanzee)
Lineage: Eukaryota; Metazoa; Chordata; Mammalia; Primates; Hominidae
Description: long non-coding RNA NONPTRT017360
Source: RNAcentral
CGGCUUCCUUUACCUGAAUAAUCCUUUAAAGGAGUAAUAAUUUUUAAAAAGGAGCUCGACCUCAGCCAAAGAGGACGGCGCACGAGAUUAGGGCUUGAUCCACUGCCUUUGGUUGGGCCGGCUGAAUCGCUGGGGACUGCGGCCAGUCUCUUAAAAAGGAGAACAAAAAGCCGAAGACCUUGUGUGGCCGCCGGGACAAAGCACUUUGGGUUCGGCGAGAAGGGACGCGCAGGAGCGCUGAACCCAGAACACGCGUGGCCGCUGCGGAAGGGCGUCCGCCGGGCGUGCGGAACGCUGAGGGUAUUCGGAUUGUCUUUUAUUUGUCCCUGUGGCUUGCUUUCACAGUGUCUACGUAGGAGAGGGGUCGGGGUUGUUGGGGUCUCUUUUUUUUUUCUGGGAGGGGUAGCUGAAUUGUGGGAGACCUAGGUGGACUUGACUUGGCUUUCCUGCUACUCUGCCUCUCCUUCUCAAGAUGCGGGGGUUGGGAAGGGGACAGGGGACUCAAGGCUUAGAAAAGAGAAGGAGCCCUCUGCUGACAGGAGGGCUAAGGGA